ACGAAAACAUUGAAAAUCGUGAAUUUUACCGUAACCCGCGGUCAAAUUUUAGAUUUUUCAAAAAUAAUUGCACGAGUUUUAACGACAAUUAACAUUUUUUUCGACACAAUUUAAACACCGCGAAAAUACGUACAACUUUUUCUCGGUAUGAGCGCGCAAAUCCGAAAUGCCCAAGGGCAGUGUUCAAACGAAGCGAUACGGUUUUGUUUUUUUUUUAUCUCCGCUAGCCGUAAACAAGCUCAUUUCCUCGUCAGUCGGAAAAUUCGGUAUGUUCGCCCCAAUCCUAUACCGCGUCCGUCGAAAUGACGCCGCAGACAAUAUCGUACGCGUGCACGACUUGUUUACUUUUUAAAACAGAUCCAUGGCGACUACGACAGAACUGCUGCAUUCGUUGUAAUAUAAACCACUUAGAAAAAAAAAAAAAAAAAACAACAAAACCGGAAGUGUUCAGGAACAGCGUCAACAGUGUGGUCCGGCACAACGCAACACUAAUGGGUUCGCAUCGCGGGCGGGAGCGUUAAUUGCCGG
This is a non-coding RNA of Cinara cedri, 528 nucleotides long. The record is from the annotation of a GenBank genome assembly. Lineage: Eukaryota; Metazoa; Arthropoda; Insecta; Hemiptera; Aphididae.